GACGAACGCUGGCGGCGUGCUUAACACAUGCAAGUCGAACGGAAAGGCCCUGCUUUUGUGGGGUGCUCGAGUGGCGAACGGGUGAGUAACACGUGAGUAACCUGCCCUUGACUUUGGGAUAACUUCAGGAAACUGGGGCUAAUACCGGAUAGGAGCUCCUGCUGCAUGGUGGGGGUUGGAAAGUUUCGGCGGUUGGGGAUGGACUCGCGGCUUAUCAGCGAGUUGGUGGGGUAGUGGCUUACCAAGGCUUUGACGGGUAGCCGGCCUGAGAGGGUGACCAGCGAGAAUGGGACGGAGACAGGGGCCAGACUGCGAAGGGAGGCAGCAGUGGGGAAUAUUGGACAAUGGGCGAAAGCCUGAUCCAGCAAUGCCGCGUGAGUGAGGAAGGCCUUAGGGUUGUAAAGCCCUGUGACCCGGGAUGAGAGGGACAGUAAUGGGAGAAUAAGAUCCGGCUAACUCCGUG
Molecule: ribosomal RNA, 463 nt
Filed under: uncultured bacterium
Lineage: Bacteria
Description: partial 16S ribosomal RNA
Rfam family: Bacterial small subunit ribosomal RNA
Source: RNAcentral